This 194-nucleotide ribosomal RNA is filed under the name Pterocomma salicis. RNAcentral's name for it is "partial 28S ribosomal RNA". The record is from RNAcentral. Lineage: Eukaryota; Metazoa; Arthropoda; Insecta; Hemiptera; Aphididae.
GCUACAAAACCAGGUGAUCCCACCGUUCAAAAGAUCACUGCACAAGUGGCACUACCCGCACAACAGCAAAUAUCCAUCGCCGCCGCAGUCGACGCGUUCGCCGUCAAGAAGGACAAGGCAGCACCCAAGUCGGUGGUCCUGACUCCGGAGGCGGUCGGUGCUGGAGUCGUACGGCUACUCGGUACCUCAGUCCA